Molecule: ribosomal RNA, 465 nt
Filed under: uncultured Klebsiella sp.
Lineage: Bacteria; Pseudomonadati; Pseudomonadota; Gammaproteobacteria; Enterobacterales; Enterobacteriaceae
Description: bacterial SSU rRNA
Rfam family: Bacterial small subunit ribosomal RNA
Source: RNAcentral
CCUACGGGGGGCUGCAGUGGGGAAUAUUGCACAAUGGGCGCAAGCCUGAUGCAGCCAUGCCGCGUGUGUGAAGAAGGCCUUCGGGUUGUAAAGCACUUUCAGCGGGGAGGAAGGCGGUGAGGUUAAUAACCUCAUCGAUUGACGUUACCCGCAGAAGAAGCACCGGCUAACUCCGUGCCAGCAGCCGCGGUAAUACGGAGGGUGCAAGCGUUAAUCGGAAUUACUGGGCGUAAAGCGCACGCAGGCGGUCUGUCAAGUCGGAUGUGAAAUCCCCGGGCUCAACCUGGAAACUGCAUUCGAAACUGGCAGGCUAGAGUCUUGUAGAGGGGGGUAGAAUUCCAGGUGUAGCGGUGAAAUGCGUAGAGAUCUGGAGGAAUACCGGUGGCGAAGGCGGCCCCCUGGACAAAGACUGACGCUCAGGUGCGAAAGCGUGGGGAGCAAACAGGAUUAGAUACCCGAGUAGUC